This 252-nucleotide ribosomal RNA is filed under the name uncultured bacterium. RNAcentral's name for it is "partial 16S ribosomal RNA". It matches the Rfam family "Bacterial small subunit ribosomal RNA", at positions 88 to 334 of the family's 1533-position model. The record is from RNAcentral.
UGGAUGAGUGGCGAACGGGUGAGUAACACGUGAGUAACCUCGUCCCCCUUCCUUUGUAGAUACGCCCGGAAACGGGUGCUAAUACUGGAUAUUCACUUGCCUUCGCAUGGGGGUUGGUGGAAAGGGUUUUUUCUGGUGGGGGAUGGGCUCGCGGCCUAUCAGCUUGUUGGUGGGGUGAUGGCCUACCAAGGCUUUGACGGGUAGCCGGCCUGAGAGGGUGACCGGUCACAUUGGGACUGAGAUACGGCCCAG